AUUGAACGCUGGCGGCAGGCCUAACACAUGCAAGUCGAACGAGUGGCGGACGGGUGAGUAAUGUCUGGGAAACUGCCCGAUGGAGGGGGAUAACUACUGGAAACGGUAGCUAAUACCGCAUACCAUCGGAUGUGCCCAGAUGGGAUUAGCUAGUUGGUGGGGUAAAGGGCUACCAAGGCGACGAUCCGUAACUGGUCUGAGAGGAUGAUCAGUCACACUGGAACUGAGACACGGUCCAGACCCCUACGGGAGGCAGCAGUGGGGAAUAUUGGACAAGGGGCGAAAGCCUGAGCCAGCCAGGCCGCGUGUGUGAAGAAGGUCUGCGGAUUUUAAGGCACUUUAAGUUGGGAGGCGUUACCAACAGAAUAAGCACCGGCUAACUACGUGCCAGCAGCCGCGGUAAUAC
This 406-nucleotide ribosomal RNA is filed under the name uncultured bacterium. RNAcentral's name for it is "partial 16S ribosomal RNA". It matches the Rfam family "Bacterial small subunit ribosomal RNA", at positions 30 to 526 of the family's 1533-position model. The record is from RNAcentral.